AUCCAGCUGACGAAUCCCAAAUAGAACGAAACGCGCUUGUUGGAU
Non-coding RNA from Schistosoma mansoni, 45 nucleotides. NCBI's taxonomy places the organism in Eukaryota, Metazoa, Platyhelminthes, Trematoda, Strigeidida, Schistosomatidae. The record is from Rfam.